GCCUUCGUAGUGUAUUCGUAAGCCCGCUCGACGCGUAUUCGAGAGAUCCGGGGUUCGAGUCCCGGCAAGGGCA
This is a non-coding RNA of Stegodyphus mimosarum, 73 nucleotides long. NCBI's taxonomy places the organism in Eukaryota, Metazoa, Arthropoda, Arachnida, Araneae, Eresidae. The record is from Rfam.